Molecule: ribosomal RNA, 119 nt
Filed under: Helianthus annuus (common sunflower)
Lineage: Eukaryota; Viridiplantae; Streptophyta; Magnoliopsida; Asterales; Asteraceae
Source: RNAcentral
GGUUGAGAUCAUACCAGCACUAAUGCACCGGAUCCCUUCAGAACUCCGCAGUUAAGCGUGCUUGGGCGAGAGUAGUACUAGGAUGGGUGACCCCCUGGGAAGUCCUCGUGUUGCAACCC